GGCGGGCCGAGGCGCGGCUCUCACGGCUGGCGGCGGUGAAGAUGGCAGAUUUUUUGAAAGGACUACCAGUCUACAACAAAAGCAACUUCAGCAGAUUCCAUGCGGAUUCCGUAUGUAAAGCAUCAAAUAGGAGACCAUCAGUAUAUCUUCCCACGAGGGAAUAUCCAUCUGAACAAAUCAUAGUAACAGAAAAGACAAAUAUCCUCUUGCGCUAUUUACAUCAGCAGUGGGACAAAAAGAAUGCAGCAAAGAAGAGAGAUCAAGAGCAGGUGGAAAUAGAAGGUGAGAACUCAGCACCACCCCGGAAAAUCGCUCGGACAGACAGCCAGGACAUGAACGAGGACACUUAAACUCUUGGCUUCCUCCUCUCCUACUUUGCAGGCGCUUCCUGUUUUGUCUCCAAGUGUGUAAAUUUGCCCCUUGCCCCCAUCUCUCCCCCCUCCACUGCGUAGCCCAAACCACUUUUGACUUCCCAGGAGCCAACAUAUUUAUUUUUUCUCUUUGUUUUUUUUUUUUUUUCUUCCCUCUCCAUUUUUUUAUUUAUGCCAUAAACCUGACGGAGCAGUGGUGGAACAAUGGAGUAAAUGAUGUAGUAGAACCUUAGUUCCUCCUUUUGCAAACACUGUCACUUGGGCAGGUUUUGAAUCUGUUACCUAUUGCCCAGGUCUGGCUGUGGGAGCCUGGGUAGGAGACAUGGGUUAUCACAGAACCCUCCAGAGAUACACGCUCUCUACGUACCCACUGACGUACUACAGGUGGUUUAACUCCUCUUUGGAUGUGCCCAGGCCAGCCAUAAGUGUGGGGCCUCACCAUUUUUCCUCCAAUAUUCUGAAACUGGCACUGCACUAAAACAAAACCCAACCAACCUACAUGAGUGUCCUUCAGGGUUAUGUUGAUCUUAGCAAAUGUGUUGUCAACUUGAUCUCUCGGUUGUAUUCUUCUGGUCUGUUGUGUAAGGGCCGCGCUCCUCCGGCGGCACGCGUUAUCUCAUGCAUCAGUGCUCAUGGAGAACUCAAGUGAAAGGUGUGUGGCUUUUGUUGCUCUGACAUUCUAACCUUCUCUUGGUCUUGAACGGACUGAUCUGUGCGACUUCUCCAGUGGAGUCAAAGGAUGCUCUUCUCCUGUGCUGAGUAGUUGAUCACCAGUGUGCGGAAGCAGCGGCGGAUGGAGCAGCGUGGGAUACGCACCCCACAGGCAGCCCGUGGCUGGAGAAGUCUGGGAGCACCUCAGCAACUGCAUCUAGUUCUGGCUCAGCUGCCAGCUCCGAAUAAUGGUACGUUGUGUUGUGCUGCAGUAGCAGAAUGGAGUUGAUGAAAACAUGAGCUUCCAUGGUCUCUGGUGAAGACCAAUCUCUCUUGGACUGUGACAGUUCAGUGCCUGUUGCCUGGAACCCUUCACUGACUCUUCGAGAAGAGCCAAACCGGAGGCCCAUAAGUCAUCUGCGUGGAUUCAGAGGUUGAGAGACUCAAAGGAAACGAGCAUUGUCACCUGAAGGGGACAGGAAAGGUGUAGCUUAGUAAUGAUGUCUUGUCUGCUUUAACGUAAGAAGCUGACUUCACACUGUGUUAGUUGAAAUUGUUGCAUUUAUAGCUGUGGGGGUUGUUUUCUUCCUCGUUGACAAAUCCUAAACACCAUGAAAUCACAGGAAUGUUGUUCUGGAGAUCCUGGACAAGCCUCAUUCCGAGCGGCUGCAGCAGGUGGAAGCUUUGAGGGGUUCUGCUCUCCCUCUCUCCGUGGCAUUCCCAUCCAACCCAGGGACACCAGGUUUGGGAACGAAGGGAACACGGAGGGAGAAAAACUUGCUGCCGACCAUAGGUUGCGAGGCAGACCCUUAGGAAGAGCAGGGCACAGCUCACAUUGCAAUUCCAAAUGUACCUUUAGGCACCGGGUUUCUGAUGCAGUGAGUGAAUUUAACUUAACACCAAGUAGUUUAGAACUUUGUAUCUGCCUCAAAAAAAACCCAACCAACCUUUUUGCUAUGGCAGUAACCUCCAAAUUACUGGAAUGCCGUUGAAGAUGCCAACCAUGUUGGUGAAGAUAAAAUACACUUGGGUUUCCCUGUGAUUUACUGGUGAUGGCAAGAGGACUCCACGCUGUCAGCAAGUGCUUUUGUGCACAGUGAAAGAUGUUGAAGAUCAUCGUGGGGUGAAGCUGAAGCUGAAGAACCCUUUGAAGAGAUACCAGAGGAGAAAACGGAUGUGCAGCUGGUGGUAAAGUGUGACCAAUCUGUGUGUAGCAAAGCUGGAGAGCUGCAGCCUUGCAGCAAUGUCUGUACAGUGCUUUCAAGUUGUAAAAUGCUGUAUAAUUCUUGGUGGAUCCGGCAAGGUUUGAGCUUUGCUGACUAUUCUGCUAGCCAGAGUGAUGUACUAUUAAAGAGAGUUGGCAGUUCCUUCCUGUUGUAAACCCCCGUCUUUGUUCCCUCCGUGUCCUUUACAACUGAUCGUGGUGGUUAUGGGAACCUUUGCCAAUGUUUCAGUGGUUUGAGGAGGUAAAAGAAAGUUGCCUUUUUCAAGCAGUUGGGAAGCACUGGAGGAAGAAGGCUUCAGAGCACUGUUAAGCGUCCAACUGGUUGGGUGUUGGUUUUGUUGCAUCGGUGGCUGUGUACAAGCAGUGUGGAUUUCUGAUCCCUGCACUGAGGCUCUCUCCAUCCAGCCUGAAGCCAGAGCUCCCUCCCUUCCUCCUCCACCUCCUCCAGGCUGCUGCUGGCUCCAGUGCUGUCCUCCAGCUCUUGCACUUUGAUCCUAUAUUCCCGUCUGUUUAGUACGUGGUAAGUGUCUCGGGUUUGAAUGUUGCAUGGAAGAUCUCAUUUGCCUAAUUGUGACUUCCUGGUGCCUUAGUGCAUUGAAACCAACACCAACAAAUGUUGACAAACCCAAACCCUGGGGGUUUGCUGACCACACUGUGUGUACAAUACCGAGCUCCUCUGAUUCCAACUCUUGUUAUAAAGUGACUGAGAUUUAGCCACCCUCAGGGGGUUUUGUAUCUGUCUGCAUAGUGGUAUUUUUAUUGUUUCUGUUACCAAUGUAUACUAAAGGUUUGGGUUUUUAAAUGAAAACUUGAGAUACUUGUCAGCAA
Long non-coding RNA from Strigops habroptila (Kakapo), 3075 nucleotides. The record is from Ensembl. Lineage: Eukaryota; Metazoa; Chordata; Aves; Psittaciformes; Psittacidae.